Molecule: ribosomal RNA, 485 nt
Filed under: Zelanion antipodus
Lineage: Eukaryota; Metazoa; Arthropoda; Chilopoda; Geophilomorpha; Chilenophilidae
Description: partial 16S ribosomal RNA
Rfam family: Bacterial large subunit ribosomal RNA
Source: RNAcentral
GGCCUUUUGGUUUUAUGAGGGGUUUGGCCUGCUCGGUGUGAUAUUAACAGCCGCGGUAACUUGACCGUGCGAAGGUAGCAUAAUCAUUAGCCUUUUAAUUGGGGGCUGGUAUGAAUGGUUUGACGGGGGGGAGCUGUCUUAUGUGCAAAUUGUGAAUUUCAGCUUACUGUGAGGACGCAGUAGUGGUUGUUUGGGACGAGAAGACCCUAUAAAGCUUUACACGAUGGGGUAUGGUUGGUUUCUUGGUGUUUUGUUGGGGCGACAAGCAGGUUUGACCAGAAGACUGCUAUAUUUGUGGGGAUGUAUCUUUUAGACUCUUAUGUGAUCCAUUUUUGAUAUUAGGACGAGCUACUUUAGGGAUAACAGCGUAAUUGUGUUGGAGAGUACAUAUUGAUAUCAUAGUUUGCGACCUCGAUGUUGAAUUAGGAGUUCUUAGGGCCGCAGGAGGCUCUGGAGAGGGUCUGUUCGACCUUUAAAUUCCUACA